RNAcentral lists this ribosomal RNA (128 nucleotides) under Petromyzon marinus (sea lamprey). The record is from RNAcentral. Lineage: Eukaryota; Metazoa; Chordata; Hyperoartia; Petromyzontiformes; Petromyzontidae.
GUCGAAGACCAAAUCGCUCUGAAUGUGCUGAUCUUGCAGGAUCUCAAACGCUAAGCAGGGUUAAGCCUGGUUAUUACGUCAAUAGGGGAGGGGGUGGGGGUGCAUGGGAGUACUAGGUGCUUUAGGCU